AUGUCAACAGUGCCUUAGCAGCACGUAAAUAUUGGCGUUAAGAUUCUAAAAUUAUCUCCAGUAUUAACUGUGCUGCUGAAGUAAGGUUGGCCA
Molecule: microRNA precursor, 93 nt
Filed under: Ictidomys tridecemlineatus (thirteen-lined ground squirrel)
Lineage: Eukaryota; Metazoa; Chordata; Mammalia; Rodentia; Sciuridae
Description: miRNA (ENSSTOG00000016813.2)
Rfam family: mir-15 microRNA precursor family
About the family: This family represents the related mir-15a and mir-15b sequences. In humans miR-15a and miR-16 are clustered within 0.5 kb at 13q14.
Source: RNAcentral